GACGAACGCUGGCGGCGUGCCUAAUACAUGCAAGUCGAACGCAGUGGGGACGGGUGAGUAACACGUGGGUAACCUCCCAUCAGAGGAGAUAACACUUGGAAACAGGUGCUAAACCGCUACUGAUGGAUGGACCCGCGGUGCAUUAGCUAGUUGGUGAGGUAACGGCUCACCAAGGCAACGAUGCAUAGCCGAGCUGAGAGGGGGUUCGGCCACACUGGAACUGAGACACGGACCAGACGCCUACGGGAGGCAGCAGUAGGGAAUCUUCGACAAUGGACUAAAGUCUGACCGAGCGACGCCGCGUGAGUGAAGAAGGUUUUCGGAUCGUAAAACUCUGGUGUUAGAGAAGCGGUAUCUAACCAGAAAGCAACGGCUAACUACGUGCCAGCAGCCGCGGUAAUUC
Molecule: ribosomal RNA, 403 nt
Filed under: uncultured bacterium
Lineage: Bacteria
Description: partial 16S ribosomal RNA
Rfam family: Bacterial small subunit ribosomal RNA
Source: RNAcentral